ACCACUGAGCUAAAUCCCCAGCCCCCGGCUUAUUUUUUAAAAAGGUACUUUUAAGGGCUGGGGAUUUAGCUCAGUGGC
RNAcentral lists this microRNA precursor (78 nucleotides) under Fukomys damarensis (Damara mole-rat). RNAcentral's name for it is "mir-3473 microRNA precursor family". It matches the Rfam family "mir-3473 microRNA precursor family". The record is from Rfam by way of RNAcentral. Lineage: Eukaryota; Metazoa; Chordata; Mammalia; Rodentia; Bathyergidae.